Molecule: long non-coding RNA, 1827 nt
Filed under: Daucus carota (carrot)
Lineage: Eukaryota; Viridiplantae; Streptophyta; Magnoliopsida; Apiales; Apiaceae
Description: long non-coding RNA (DCAR_LNC003011)
Source: RNAcentral
CCAAACAGCCCUAAGCCGCCCCAUCUCCCUUCUGCCUCCAUCUCUCUAUAACUCUAUUUCUCUCACUUUCUUGGAUAUGAUGAAUGGUUAAAAACCAAACUCCUCUCUCUCUCUCUCUCCCUUUCACUCUCUCCCUCUCUCUCUUUCAGCCUUUCAAAUAUGUACAGAGCGGAACCCUAAUAUAAGUUUCAGCAUUUCAGACCAAAAGCUCAAAUCUAUUGAAGCAGUAAAAAGGUUGAGAUCAACGGCUCUCUCUCAUCAAUUGUUUCAUCACAAUCCGUGAAAUCUUUACUUUUCACUUUUUGACAUAAACGUACGUACCAUUUUGCUCCAACAAAAAACAAGCUAAGGAACAAGGAAAUCAAACUCUGUUUUGCAGAUCAUCAGAGCAGCUUGGCUUCUACCUUGUAAGAAUCUCUCUCCCUCUCUCUCUCUCUCUCUCUCUCUCUCUCUCUCCCUCUCUCUCUCUCUCUCCCUCCAUCUCUCCUUGCUCUCUCUCUCCCUCUUAGUUCUUCGAAAUACAUGCUAGCUAGAGGUGUACAAGUAGUGGAUGUGUGUGUUACAUAAGCAAACAUAACGUACUAUGAGUAAGUUGUGACAGUGUGUGUACAAAAUCUCUCUUGUUGAUAUAGUCUGAAAAUUCUUCUUUUGUGUUAUCUAGAUAUUCGAGUAAAUAUUCGUGAAAAUCUUAGAUAUGGAUUCUGGAAACAGCGGGAGCAUACAAUCCUCAAGCGGCGCAGACGAUGACUACGAGUCACGCGCCGGUGAAUCCACCUUUAGCAACCCAUCCUCCACCACAACCACAACCAACAACCCACUACUAUUCUCCCAAUCGUCCACCAUGUUUGACCCUCUAUCCAACUACUUCGACCCACCCAUCCCAUCUCGACCCACCCACCAAAACCAAAACCAAAACCAAAACACAUCCCUCCUCAAUCUAGACAUGCCUUCAUGGCCCAAAUCCCAACCCAAUCCUUUCUUCACACCCCAAACUCCCAUGUCCUCAUUCCCCCAUAUUUCAGAACCCAUUCCCACAACAACACCAGGGAAUAAUACGAAUCAAGUCAUCCAGCAAGAUCAGACUAGUCAGACUCAGACACGAAACCCGAAGAAAAGAUCUCGCGCCUCUAGGCGCGCACCCACCACUGUGUUAACCACAGACACCUCCAAUUUCCGAGCCAUGGUUCAGGAAUUCACUGGAAUCCCCGCGCCUCCUUUCACUUCCUCACCAUUCCCGAGAACCCGGCUCGAUCUCUUUACUUCCCCUUCUCCCUCAUCCUUCAGAUCUCAACCCUCGAGUUUCAAUCAAAAUCAUCUCCUCCGUCCAUUCCCUCAGAAAUUCCAACCCCAACUCUCACCGUUCACAACUAACCACAACAAUAUUAACACNGAAACGAGUCAAGAGUGAAACUAGCUAGAGGUGUACAAGUAGUGGAUGUGUGUGUUACAUAAGCAAACAUAACGUACUAUGAGUAAGUUGUGACAGUGUGUGUACAAAAUCUCUCUUGUUGAUAUAGUCUGAAAAUUCUUCUUUUGUGUUAUCUAGAUAUUCGAGUAAAUAUUCGUGAAAAUCUUAGAUAUGGAUUCUGGAAACAGCGGGAGCAUACAAUCCUCAAGCGGCGCAGACGAUGACUACGAGUCACGCGCCGGUGAAUCCACCUUUAGCAACCCAUCCUCCACCACAACCACAACCAACAACCCACUACUAUUCUCCCAAUCGUCCACCAUGUUUGACCCUCUAUCCAACUACUUCGACCCACCCAUCCCAUCUCGACCCACCCACCAAAACCAAAACCAAAACCAAAACACAUCCCUCCUCAAUCUAGA